AUUGAACGCUGGCGGCAUGCCUAACACAUGCAAGUCGAACGGAAACGAUGGGAGCUUGCUCCCAGGCGUCGAGUGGCGGACGGGUGAGUAACACUUGGGAAUCUGCCCAGUAGUGGGGGACAACAUUCGGAAACGGAUGCUAAUACCGCAUACGCACUACGGUGGAAAGUGGGGGAUCUUCGGACCUCACGCUAUUGGAUGAGCCCAAGUCGGAUUAGCUUGUUGGUGAGGUAAUAGCUCACCAAGGCGACGAUCCGUAGCUGGUCUGAGAGGACGAUCAGCCACACUGGGACUGAGACACGGCCCAGACUCCUACGGGAGGCAGCAGUGGGGAAUAUUGGACAAUGGGCGCAAGCCUGAUCCAGCAAUGCCGCGUGUGUGAAGAAGGCCUGCGGGUUGUAAAGCACUUUCAGUAGAGAAGAAAAGCCUAGGGUUAAUACCCCUGAGUCUUGACGUAACCUACAGAAGAAGCACCGGCUAACUCCGUG
This 488-nucleotide ribosomal RNA is filed under the name uncultured bacterium. RNAcentral's name for it is "bacterial SSU rRNA". It matches the Rfam family "Bacterial small subunit ribosomal RNA", at positions 30 to 507 of the family's 1533-position model. The record is from RNAcentral.